GGGCCUUAGCUCAGUGGCAGAAUAUCAGAUUGGCAAGCAGAAGGUCCCGGGUUCAAUCCCUGACAUCUCCA
Podarcis lilfordi (Lilford's wall lizard) is the source of this 71-nucleotide non-coding RNA. Lineage: Eukaryota; Metazoa; Chordata; Lepidosauria; Squamata; Lacertidae. The record is from the annotation of a GenBank genome assembly.